GAUUUAGUGAUUAGGAUUUAGGGUUUAUUAUUUGGAAGGUGGAGGUUGAAAUUUGGGUUUAGUGAUAGUAGUUUAGGGUUUAGUGAUAGUAGUUUAGGGUUUAGUGUUCAAAAGUUAGGUCUGAGUUUAGCAUUUAAAAGUUGUGUGUUGGGUAAGAACCAUAUACUAUUCAAAAGUUAGGUCUGGAUUUAGUUUAAUAUUAUAUAAUAUUAUAUAUUAUUUUCAGAUUUUGAUAAU
Molecule: long non-coding RNA, 237 nt
Filed under: Brassica napus (rape)
Lineage: Eukaryota; Viridiplantae; Streptophyta; Magnoliopsida; Brassicales; Brassicaceae
Description: long non-coding RNA (BNAP_LNC009674)
Source: RNAcentral